RNAcentral lists this ribosomal RNA (460 nucleotides) under uncultured bacterium. Its description in RNAcentral is "partial 16S ribosomal RNA". It matches the Rfam family "Bacterial small subunit ribosomal RNA", at positions 338 to 795 of the family's 1533-position model. The record is from RNAcentral.
CCUACGGGUGGCAGCAGUGAGGAAUAUUGGUCAAUGGACGAGAGUCUGAACCAGCCAAGUAGCGUGCAGGAUGACUGCCCUAUGGGUUGUAAACUUCUUUUAUAUGGGAAUAAAACGUUCCACGUGUGGGAUUUUGUAUGUACCAUAUGAAUAAGGAUCGGCUAACUCCGUGCCAGCAGCCGCGGUAAUACGGAGGAUCCGAGCGUUAUCCGGAUUUAUUGGGUUUAAAGGGAGCGUAGGUGGAUUGUUAAGUCAGUUGUGAAAGUUUGGGGCUCAACCGUAAAAUUGCAGUUGAAACUGGCAGUCUUGAGUACAGUAGAGGUGGGCGGAAGUCGUGGUGUAGCGGUGAAAUGCUUAGAUAUCACGAAGAACUCUGAUUGCGAAGGCAGUUCACUGGACUGCAACUGACACUGAGGCUCGAAAGUGUGGGUAUCAAACAGGAUUAGAUACCCGUGUAGUC